CCUACGGGAGGCUGCAGUGGGGAAUAUUGGGCAAUGGGCGCAAGCCUGACCCAGCAACGCCGCGUGAAGGAAGACGGCUUUCGGGUUGUAAACUUCUUUUCUCAGGGACGAAGCAAGUGACGGUACCUGGGGAAUAAGCCACGGCUAACUACGGGCCAGCAGCAGCGGUAAUACGGAGGUGGCAAGCGUUAUCCGGAUUUACUGGGUGUAAAGGGCGUGUAGGCGGGGACGCAAGUCAGAUGUGAAAACCACGGGCUCAACCUGUGGCUUGCAUUUGAAACUGUGUUUCUUGAGUACUGGAGAGGUGGACGGAAUUCCUAGUGUAGCGGUGAAAUGCGUAGAUAUUAGGAGGAACACCAGUGGCGAAGGCGGUCUGCUGGACAGCAACUGACGCUGAGGCGCGAAAGCGUGGGGAGCAAACAGGAUUAGAUACCCCUGUAGUC
RNAcentral lists this ribosomal RNA (443 nucleotides) under uncultured bacterium. Its description in RNAcentral is "partial 16S ribosomal RNA". It matches the Rfam family "Bacterial small subunit ribosomal RNA", at positions 338 to 795 of the family's 1533-position model. The record is from RNAcentral.